AAAAAAAAAAAAAAAAAAAAAAAAAGGGUCUUUGCUGUCACAAUUAAGCCUCUCAACAUGAGAUCAUCCUGGAUUGUUUAGAUGGGCCCUAAAUAUCACAACUAGAGUUUUGUUGUUGUUGUUGUUGGUUUGUUUCUUUGUUUUUGUGACGGAGUCUCACUCUAUCACCCGGCUGGAGUGCAGUGGUGUGAUCUUGGCUCACUGCAACCUCCACCUCCCGGGUCCAAGCGACUUUCCUGCCUCACCGUCCUGAGUAGCUGGGAUGACAGGUGCCCCCACCACACCCAGCCUAAUUUUUGUAUUUUUAGUAGAGACGGGGUUUCACCAUGUUGGCCAGGCUGGUCUCGAACUCCUGACCUCAAGCGAACAACUAGCAUUUUUAUAAACUACAGAAGACGGUGGCUAUUCAUCUGCCCCCUCUCUCCUGGGUAUUUGCGUGUCAGGUGCAGAGAUGGAGUCUUCUGAGGGCGCACAUCACAGCGUAGACAGAAAGUUGAGGUUGUACAUGCCGCAGGUUCCAGAUGGAAAUCACUAGUGCCUCCUCUUCUCUCUAAUAGGCACACUAGACACAGCAGGUGCAUUUUGGCGGUGGGAUGAGGUCCGACAGUCACCUUUAUUUUUUAUUUAUGUAUUCAUUAGUAUUAUUAUUUUUUGAGACUGAGUCUUAAACUGUCACCCAGGCUGGAGUGCAGUGGCGGCAUCUCGGCUCACUGCAACCUCCACUUCCCAGGUUCAAGGGAUUCUCCUGCCUCAGCCUCCUGAGUAGCUGGGAUUAUAGGCGCCCAUCACCAUGCCCAGCUAAUUUUUGUAUUUUUAGUAGGGACGGGGUUCGCCAUGUUGGUGAGGCUGGUCUCCAACUCUUUUUUUUUUUUUUUUUUUUUUUUGAGACGGAGUCUCGCUGUCUCCCAGGCUGGAGUUCAGUGCCUCAAUCUCGGCUCACUGCAAGCUCCACCUCCCGUGUUCUCGCCAUUCUCCUGCCUCAGCCUCCCCAGUAGCUGGGACUACAGGCGCCCGCCACCACACCUGGCUAAUUUUUUGUAUUUUUAGCCAUGGGGUUUCACCAUGUUAGCCAGGAUGGUCUCAAUCUCCUGACCUCGUGAUCUGCCUGCCUCGGCCUCCCAAAGUGCUGGGAUUACAGACAUGUGCCACCACGCCUGGCUAAUUUUUUGUAUUUUUAGUAGAGAUGGGGUUUCACCGUGUUGGCCAGGCUGGUCUCGAACUCCUGACCUUGGAUGAUCUGCUCGCCUCGGCCUCCCAAAUUGCUGGGAUGACAGACGUGAACCACCGUGCCUGGCCGACAGUCACCUUUAGAAUGUGAACAGUGGACACUGUGUUGGGGUCUCCUACCUGUGCCUGUGAUGUGGACUGGCCCAUCUCGUCAUGGACAAGUAGAGAUGGGGUUUCACCAUGUUGAGCAGUCUGGUCUUGAACUUCUGACCUCGUGAUCCACCCGCCUCAGCCCCCCAAAGUGCUGGGAUUACAGGCGUGAGCCACCGCGCCCGGCCUGAGACGGCUUUCCAAGGCUGCAGAAAUGAAGUCUGCAAUAGCAGAUCCUCUUUGCCUGGGUUUGCACGUGAUCCAGCAAACCACCCACCGACCCGUUGCCUCAUGUGAGACAUCCUCAGGGAACAGCAAGAAUUUUGAAGGUCCCUGAUAAGACAUCUUUGAGGUCAGGCAUAAAUCAUCACUUCACAUCUUGACGGCAAUGCAACGAAGACAAGUAUCUGUCUCUUUGGGUCUGUCUAACAAGGAGCAAAGCCUGGCCUCCCACCAGCAUCCAGACAAUAGUGGAUUCCCUCUCCAUAGAUGUCAAAAAAGAAACAGAUGCUCCCGCAGGUGAAAUGAGCUCUGGUCCACAAUGCAACGCAGGCUGUGCAGAAAAUCAAAGAGGAACCAACCCAGAAGUAUCCCCCAGGACAAAUCAUUAAGGGGGAAAAGGUAAGACACUUGUUCUCACUUUGCCUUCUGCCAUGUUUGUAAGUUUCCUGAUGUCUCCUCUGAGCCUCCAGAAGGAACCAAGCCUACUGAUACCUUGAUCUCAGCUGUUGGCCUCCAGAAGUUCGAGAGAACAGACGUCUGCUGUUUCAAGCCACGCAGUUGUUGGUAUUUUUCUACAACAGCAUCUGAAUCCUAAUGCAUGCCCUCUAACUGUGGGAUCGAUUUUGGGGUGCUGAGAUGUGGCCUGUUUCUCCUAUGACCUUCCUUGUGUUUUUAGUGCUCUUGGAAGAAGAGAGAAUUAAGCAUAGAAUACCCACAGAGAGGAAUCUCUCUUUCUUUUUUUUUUUCUUUGAGACAGAGUCUUGCUCUGUCACCAGGCUGGGAGUUCAGUGGCACGAUCUCGGCUCACUGCAACAUCCGUCUCUCAGAUUCAAGCAAUUCUCCUGUCUCAGCCUCCCAAGUAGCAGGGACUACAGGCGCAUGCCACCACGGCCGGCUGAUUUUUUUUUUUUUUUUUUUUUUUUGUAUUUUUAGUAGACAUGGGGUUUCACCAUCUUGUCUAGGAUGGUCUCGAUCUCCUGACCUUGUGAUCUGCCCACCUCAGACUCCCAAAGUGCUGGGAUUGAGGAAUCUUUCAACCCCUUGCUACCUUUCAAAUUGCAUAGGAACAUUGAAAAGAUGAUAAAAUGUGGAGGCUCAAAGAAAACAAGCAGUGUUCAGCAUUCCGAAAGUGGCCUGGUUUGAGGAAAUUAAUUAUUUGGCAUCUCUGAACAAGUGGUGUUUUGGACUCCUAAACUUAAAGAUAAAUACAUAUUGUUUCCUACCCUUCAUUCGUCUUCCUUCUCCUCGCCCGACCCAGAACUCCAAGAAGGCUAAUCUCUUCUGCAAUAUCGUAAUGGCCUUGAAGCAAUCUAACAUCUGUGUUCUUCCUUUCCUCAUCUAUGAAAUUACUUUCAAAUAACCAAAUUAAACAGGAUCUUCCAUUUGGGCUGGAAUGGUAAGAGCGGCAGAGGACAGCAUGUUCCCAUUUAUAAUAGCAGGCACGGAAAUUCAACCAGACUUUGCUGAUCUAAGAGAUGCUCUUGGAAGACCCCAUUACUUAAAUGAUCUAGAAAAUGUCCUCCCGAGUCAAGGACAAUCCAUGUCCAUUUACCUGUGUUCUGUGAGACAGAUGAAGCCUGGACUUCUGCUAUCCUGCCCUUGCUGGGAAUGAGCAGGGUUGUACCUGCACUCAUCAUGGAAUAAGCACUAAAGAAACAAAGCUACAACAGAAGAUGUCCUCUACUGCAGGGCACCUUACAUUCCAAUCCUCCAAUAUGGCAGCGAGUCAAAAUCUCAAAAGACCUGAGUGCCUUCUGCGUAAGUCCCCGUAGGCUUCUAGUAUUCAUUUUACAAGUAUACUGAUGCUCUCAGUUGAUGCUGAGGGGGUGGCUGUUCAUGAAGAUGAUGGAAUUGGCUUCGGCAGAGGUCUCUCUUUGACCAUCUAGAGGCACUGUUGCUUAUCUAUCAGGAAACGGAGGGAGGCACUGGGAAUUUGAACUCGAGCUCUGGAGUUCUUCCAUGCAGCUGUGUUUACGUAUCAUCAAGCACCGAUUCAUUGCCCGUUGGGACAGAGGAGAAUCAGGCCUGGUCUGGCAUCAUUGCCGGGUGGGUGUGAAAUGCCACUUCUACCGAGACCAACUGGAAAUGAAAGAUCGUCAACAGUCAAAAAGGUCACUGCAUAAAUGCCUGUGAAGUCCAAGUAACUGUCAGAGACAGAAUACGCUUUGCAGCGGAGAGUUUUCCAGGAAAGAAAAAUGGUCUCUGUGAAUGUUCUUUGGGAGGCCACGGAUGGCUUGUUCUGAAGUGAAUGGAAUUGCUUUGCAGAAGACGCAUAGCCAGGCUGAGUUCAGGAGGUAUCUCUUUUUUUUUUUUUUUUUUUUUUUGAGACGGAGUCUCGCUCUGUUGCCCAGGCUGGAGUGCAGUGGCACAAUCUCAGCUCACUGCAACCUCUGCUUCCCGGGUUCAAGCAAUUCUCCUGUCUCCACCUCCCGAGUAGCUGGCAUUACAGGCACUGCCACCAAGCCUGGCUAAUUUUUGUAUUUUUAGUAGAGAUGGAGUUUCACGAUGUUGGCCAGGCUAGUCUCGAACUCCUGACCUCAAGUGAUCCACCCACCUCAGCCUCUCAAAGUGCUGGGAUAACAGACGUGAGCCACUGCACCCGGCCCAGGAGGUGUCUUAAUCCAUUUGCUGUUGCUACAACAGAGUAACACCGUCUGGGUAAUUCACAGAAGAAGUUUAUUUUGUAAAGUCCUGGAGGCUGGCAAGUCCAAAAGGCAUGGUGCCUGCAUCUGAUGAGAGCCUCUUGCUAUAGUACAACAUAGUGGAGGACUUAUAAUGCCACCAGCUCUGUCCAUGUGGGCCUCGCUUUGAUGAUCUUACCUAAUUCUAAUUGUCUCCUAAGGGUGCCACUCCAAAUACUACAACAUACUAAUUUGAGAGAGAAGUUUCCAACACAUGAAGCUUGGGAGACACAAACCAUACAGGGUGGAGUCAAGACGGCUUGUUUAAUUCGGCCAACUUGAGCAAAGAGGCAUAAUGGUUAUUGCCUCUCUGGGUUCACUAAACACAUAAACAUGCCCACACUAAUAAUUCAUGUCGACCGCAGUACUCUCUGCUUUUCCUGAAUAGCAUAUUGUGUUGAACAGGUUAUACGACCUUGGGUAGAGACUUAGCUCUCUUUAAGCCUCCAUUUCUCAUCUGUAAAAUGAGAAUGAAAGAUGGUUUCUCCGUAUUUAUGGAAGGGUUCCAACAAGGUAAAGUGUGUAGCGUACUUUGUCAAUUCUAAAGCACUCUUCUGAUAUAAAUUAUAGCAUCCCCGGAUUCAUUGUUUGAGUUGGUUUCUUUUUUAAAAUUAAUUUCUGUUGUAUGUAUUUAAGGUGUGCAACAUGAUUUUUUGAUAUAGUGACAUAGUGAAAUGAUUAUAAUUGUUAAGAAAAUGAACACAGCUAUCAUCUCACAUAUUUACCUUUUUUGCGACAAGAGCACCUUAAAUCUACUCUCUUAACAAAAAUCCUAAAUAUGAAAUGUAUUAUAGUCCUUAUAUUUUGCAUUUGAUUUCUAGACUUAUUCUACAUCAUCUAUAACAACCACCAUUUUUUCUAUUUCUAUAUAUUUUCUUUCUUCCUUCCUUCCUUCUUUCCUUUCUUCCUUUUUUCUGAUAAGGAGUCUCGCUCUUUCGCCCAGGCUGGAGUGCAGUGGCGUGAUCUUGGCUCACUGCAAGCUCCGCCUCCCGGGUUCACGCCAUUCUCCUGCCUCAGCCUCCUGAGUAGCUGGGACUGCAGGCACCCACCACCAUGCCCAGCUAAUUUUUUGUAUUUUGUAUUUGCCUUCCUUUCUUUUUCAUUUCCUUCUUUCUGCCUUCUUUUCAUUCUUUUAUUUUUGUAGAUUCUUUAUAUAAGUGAGAUCCAAUACUUUUAACUGAAUGUGAACAUUUCUUUUACAAAAUAAAAUGUAUGUUCAGGCUUUUACUUAAUCCAUGCUAGUAAGAGCCUGGUUCAAAAAUGAGCUGCAGGUUUUUUCAAAGAGAAUCACAAUCAUUUCUGUGGAAUAGGUGAAGUGAAAGACAUUUUUAGAAAGUUUGCAUCUUUUUGCAGAGACUUUUAAUGAAGGGGUUUAUGUUUUCCGCUCUGUUCGUUUACUGAAAGCAAAAGAAGAAAAGUGAGGAAGGGAUUAUACAAAGAAAGUGACUGAAAAAUUCUGAAAAUAUCUGUUUUCAUAAGAUAAGAGCUUUAUUCUAGUUCUGAACAUAUAAUCAUAGUCAUCAUUGUCCUUAUUUAAAUAAAAACAGCUAGCUGGGCAACUUAGUCUCAUUGAAAUUCCUGAGAUCUUCAUUCUUUCUUGGUAUUUGGCUGAAAAAAGAAUAAGUUUAUCUCAUUCUUUUCCCAAAGUAUAGCACAAGGUUGAGAGCCUGGACUCGUGGCAUGCAUACCUAAUGAGACCGUUGUAUUACUUGGGGUGAAACUCCUUCCAUUUGACUUGAUGUAGUUAUUUUCUUUUUCUUGCAAGGGAAGCAAACUUUGGGUUCUACCUGGGUCUUCCUUAAGCAUCAGGUGUGUUUCAAAUGGAUAGAUUUAAUAAUAAUUGAUCCACUAAUAAUUGAUCCACUGGGCAAUGAUUUUUUAAAUGUUUGUUUUCAAAUUUAAAACAAUGCCUCAAGUUUAGAAAUGCCUCUCCUCGGCCGGGC
RNAcentral lists this long non-coding RNA (6163 nucleotides) under Homo sapiens (human). RNAcentral's name for it is "HSALNT0279635". Lineage: Eukaryota; Metazoa; Chordata; Mammalia; Primates; Hominidae. The record is from RNAcentral.